GUUUGGUGUGGUUUUUGGCAGAGUCAGCCUGAGGAUUUUUUUGGGCAGGCCUGCAAAACAGUUUUUCCCUGCCUCCACCCAAACGUGAGCAGGUCCUGUCUGCCACUGUCAUACUGCUGUGCAGGGUCAGCCUGGCUGUUUUGGACAAAAUUAGUCAGAGGGGCCUCUGGAAAAAAGCCCAAAGAAGGCUGAUUCAUUUUCCAUAAAGUAUUUGUAUUAAGGACACAGUAGGAAGAUGAAUUCUUCAGCAUCACACCCAGCCGCUGCUGUAGCUGCUUUUCCCAUCGUGCAGUAAUAUCCCCAGGGACCACUGCAUGAUCACUGUGUGCUUUCUUGCUGGAGAGGCAGCUCGAGGAGGCUGCAAACAGCAGCAAAGGCAGAUCCCGACAGGAACGGGGAGCCCCUGCAGAACCAGCAGUACCCAGCAGCAGUCCACCAAUAAAGCAUUUCUGCAGACACCUCAUUUUUCUGGUUUGGUUUCUGUUUCUUUGCUGUGAGCGUCUGUUAGGUUUGCAGAGGAAGCUGCUGAGAUGUGAGCCAGGGCAGCCCCCGGUGCUGGCCUGUCUCUGCAGCCUGAAAGCCCGGGUCAUGGCAGGGGUGGCUCCCACUCUCCCCAUGCGUGGCAGCUCAGCCGCCCAGUGCUAUGCUGCCAGCUUGCACCAGAGCAGGUAGUGUGCUUAACACUGCCGUCGGGGUGACCUGACUUCGAGCCAUCCUGGUUUUAUUCUUCUCUUCAUGAAACGAGUGGGUCCUUGGAAGAGGCCUGACAUCCCGCAGGACAAGUCUGGGUCUCACUGCCCGAGAGCUAUGGAUGACUGCUAGCGUGUCAUGUCAAGCAUCUUGAAAGGAAAGAAAGAAGAGAUUCAAGAUGCCAACAUCUUCAACUCCUUUAUAGGGUCUCUGAUAUUUGCUCCCUGACCUGUGUUCCUUAAAAAACAGCUCCCCAUUCCCGUGAUUUAAUGCACGUGCCAAAACAAGCUGCCAGUUACACUGGUCUUAAUGCAAGGUGGUUCCAAAGACACUGCCUGCCAGCAGAAUCUGGCCCUCCAUAGCAAAGAGGUUGCUGUGCAAACUCAGAGAUGAGCAGUACUGCCUGACUUAUGAUAUCUCAGCCAUUUCAUCCAUCUUGCUCCCUCACUCCAGAGCAGGAGCACACCUUUGCAAGCCACAGGUCACUGCAGCAAGGUCCACACACAUGCCAGUUGUUGGGAUUCAG
Motacilla alba alba is the source of this 1216-nucleotide long non-coding RNA. RefSeq lists it as uncharacterized. The record is from RefSeq and is a predicted model, not a curated record. The transcript is spliced from 3 exons. NCBI's taxonomy places the organism in Eukaryota, Metazoa, Chordata, Aves, Passeriformes, Motacillidae.